RNAcentral lists this signal recognition particle RNA (300 nucleotides) under Aotus nancymaae (Ma's night monkey). RNAcentral's name for it is "Metazoan signal recognition particle RNA (ENSANAG00000007155.1)". It matches the Rfam family "Metazoan signal recognition particle RNA". Rfam says of the family: The signal recognition particle (SRP) is a universally conserved ribonucleoprotein. Lineage: Eukaryota; Metazoa; Chordata; Mammalia; Primates; Aotidae. The record is from Rfam by way of RNAcentral.
ACCGGGCACUGUGGUGCGUGCCUAUAGUCCCAGCUAUGCCUGAUGCUGAGGUGGGAGGAUCACUUGAGCCCAGGAGUUCUGGGCUGUAGUGCGCUAUGCCAGUCAGGUGUCCAUACGAAGUUUGGCAUAAAUAUAGUGACCUCCCAGGAGCAGGGGACCACCACCUUGCCUAAGGAGGGGUGAGCUGGCCCAGGUAGGAAGUGGAACAGGUCAAUACUCCCAUGCUGAUCAGUAGUGGGAUUGCGCUUCUGAAUAGCCACUGCACUCCAGCCUGGGCAACAUAGCGAGACCCCCGUCUCU